GGUUCCUGUUUAGGAGUUUUUCUUGAAAGAGUGGAGAAGAUUCUGCUGGUGAGUUUCAGUCUCCAUUUGAUUUAUCUUUAAGAAGAACGCUUGAGUGGGUAGGAAUUUUCUCUGAGUUUCAGUCACCUCUCUCUCAGGCUGUUUGGCCAGGUCUCAGAUGCAUGGCAAUGCCUCUCUUCUUCCAGCGACGUGUUGACUUUUCUCUUGACCUCUUGCCACGUAUUGAACCAAGAAGGAGACUUGGCUAUGAGAGUUUACUAGAUAAAAGUCACACCUGUUUUAAGUAUAGGAUGAACUUGUAAACGUGUCCUCAGAAGUUGCUGUGAGGGUUGGAUAUUGGGCAUUUUCAAAUAUCUCCCAUGACCCUGAGUGAAACUCUUGCAGUUUUUGGUGGAAAUUUUAAAAAGAAGGAAAAAGAAGAAGCUUAUUGUAUGUUAGGAUGGAAUCACACAGAUUUCAUGAUUUCUAAAUAACAUCAUUUUUUCCUCCCUUAAUUUUUUUUUAGAUAUUAUUUCCAAGGAAGUUCCAGAGCUUGACAUGGAAUCAAGUUCUGGAGUCAGACUUAGAUUUAGUUUCUGGUGUGUACACACACACACACACACACACACACACACUAACAGAUGACAGACAAAUUCUGGAGGUACAGCCAUGAUCCCCAACACAUUUCACUCUCACUGUGUCAAGCCUAUGCUGACAGAGAGAUUGUUGGCUCUCCUCCAUGUUCUGUCUCCUACUCCAUGAUUUUUCUUACUUCGUUUCCCUGUUUUAUAGAGAUAUAAUUGCGCUAUAACAUUGUAUUAAAGGUAUAUCAUAUAAUGAUUUGAUAUUUGUGUAUAUUGCAGAAUGACCACUGCAAUAAAUUUAGUUGACAUCCCCCACCUCCCAUGUUUGCAAAUAAUACUGACUGCUUCAGGCAUUAGCAUAUCAUCCCUCUCUGUAUCAUGCUGGUUUUAGUAUAUGCAAUGUUACUUCUUUUCCUUUAUCAUCAUCAUCUUCUUCUUAUUCAUCUGCAUCAUCUUCACCAUCUGUUGGGUGUGGAGAGCCCGUUGCUGGCUUUCUGCACUUGCUCGAUGGAAAAAGACCGUCAGAGAAGGGCUACUCCCUUCAGUUCACUAUUUGCAUUUCUUCCCAUUUUCUCAGCGUCUUAAGAUUUUUCACUCCUUCUUUCUGUCACAUUUAAAAGCUCAUUUAAACGGAUAAUUUGCUGGGCAGCAGUGUUGUACUCCUUUUAUUUUCUUCCUCCAGCUGUUUUUCAGCACCUUGAUGUAUUCUGGAGAACAAAUGAUUAAACCCAAUGAAGCUGUGCUGUAAUGUAACUUUUAUGUUGAAAGAGUGUGCUUACAAAAUCUAAUUAGGACUGUUUUCUAAUUAAAUCAUUUUUCCUUUUCACAGUCAAAGCGGCUAAGGGCAAUGGGAAUAAUUUUUCAUGGAAAAUUAAAACCCAGAGGCAGCAGCAUAAUUUCCUUUACAGGCUCUCGCUGGGCGACAAGAACUUGUCCAUGUCUUUCCAUGACAUCACUGUGGAAGCGACAGGAACGUGAAAUGGCAAGUUCAGGAGCCACUCUGUGUUUGCUGAGCUGUAUGGAAACAGGCAGUGAGAAGCUAGUUAUCUGGGAAUUAGUCGUUUAUAGACACGGUUUUCCCAGAGGACACAUGGGAGGGGAAAUACAGUUUGGGGUUGAAGGAAAAAAAUUUAAAUUCCGUUUCCAAUUGUCAAAAUAAUUCUUAGGGAAGUGACUGAUGCUAAUGGACAUUUUGCUAUUUUGGAUAAGGUUGUUGUUUUUCUUGUUUCCGAUUACGAACUCCUCAUUUUUCUCUGGGCUAUUUUUAGUGCCAUCGAUCAUCGCAAUGUUCUGUACUGCAAAAAUAUGAUCACGAUUCUGGGUUUCACAACUUUUGACCCGGAUGAAUUCGCUUUAGCUCAUUUACUAAGGAAAUACUCUGAAUUUCUGUUAAAGUGUUCUGACUGCAAGGUUUAGGCGAAUGCUGUUGGUAUCCAAGAUAAUGUAUAGCACCUAAAUGCAAGUGAUUUUUUGCAGCACAAAGGCCAGUUAAUUGGGAAGGUUUAUACACUCUCCACCUGGUGGGAAGGGGGAAAUGAAGUGAUAGGUCCUUGGUUCCUUGUUAAGAUAGCAUUGAAUAAUUGAGGGCCAAGCCAGUGCUUAAAUGCACUGAUCCUAUUUUCAUGUGUUUGCAGGGUUUGCGCACUCAGGUCAGAAAUAGAAGAUGCAGUUCUGCAUGUAUCUUUCGACGUACCUCCCACUGCAGUAAUGCUCUUGUCAUGUACUACUCCUUUCUUUAUAUGUUUGAGUCCCCUUUUCCUUAUGAAGGUCCUCUAUCCCACUCCCUAGCACUGAGGCCCCUGAGGUGUGUGCAGAGGGAAGGUAGUUAGCGGAGCACUUCACAGCCUGCACAUGCCCAAACCAGAGGGCAGGCCAUGGGCAGAACCAACUGCCUGUGUCAUUAGAGAAUGAGCUAAUAAAAUGAAACACACUGGGGAGAUCUGAAGGAGCAGAAUUUCAUUAUGGGGAAGCUAAGUUUUGGCACAUAAUAGAAAGGAGGCGUUCCUGCUGUGGCACAGUAGGUUAAGGAUCCAGUAUUGCCACAGCUGUGGCGUAGGUCAUAGCUGCUGCCCAGAUUUGAUCCCUGGUCCAGGAAUUUCCAUAUACCUUGG
RNAcentral lists this long non-coding RNA (2674 nucleotides) under Sus scrofa (pig). RNAcentral describes it as "lncRNA (ENSSSCG00015079437.1)". Lineage: Eukaryota; Metazoa; Chordata; Mammalia; Artiodactyla; Suidae. The record is from RNAcentral.